GCCACCCUAGCUCAGCUGGUAGAGCGACGCAUUCGUAAUGCGUAGGUCGUCGGUUCGAAUCCGAUGGGUGGCUCCA
This 76-nucleotide transfer RNA is filed under the name Aridibacter sp. Its description in RNAcentral is "tRNA-Thr". It matches the Rfam family "tRNA". From Rfam's summary of the family: Transfer RNA (tRNA) molecules are approximately 80 nucleotides in length. Their secondary structure includes four short double-helical elements and three loops (D, anti-codon, and T loops). Further hydrogen bonds mediate the characteristic L-shaped molecular structure. tRNAs have two regions of fundamental functional importance: the anti-codon, which is responsible for specific mRNA codon recognition, and the 3' end, to which the tRNAs corresponding amino acid is attached (by aminoacyl-tRNA synthetases). tRNAs cope with the degeneracy of the genetic code in two manners: having more than one tRNA (with a specific anti-codon) for a particular amino acid; and 'wobble' base-pairing, i.e. permitting non-standard base-pairing at the 3rd anti-codon position. RNAcentral also lists the same sequence under 3 other names. The record is from RNAcentral. Lineage: Bacteria; Pseudomonadati; Acidobacteriota; Blastocatellia; Blastocatellales; Blastocatellaceae.